UUGGGUUAUGUUUGGACCCCCCUGAGUGUUUCUUCCACACGAAACGAUUCUGCGAUUCCGCGGAGCCAAGAGCGGGACGGGCGGCGCUGCCCGGGCCCGGCCCCUCCGCCCUGCCCGCCGCCUCCAUCCCCAUGGAAACUCCGACCGCCCCGGGCGGAAAGGGCCGGCCCGAGAGGGGACAAAGGAGCGCGGGGAAGCGCCGGAACGCGGCGAGCGAGCCCGGGCGGAGCGGCCCCGGGAGCCCGGCCGGGGGGAGGUGGAGCGAGAGGCCGCGGGACAGCGGCCUGAGGUGCGACAAGUGGCCGCAGCCGAAAAUUCUUUGAUCCUGGAAGGCAACUGGGGGCCAAUUCGCACCUUUUCUUGGACCUUUGGCAACUUUUUCACUCCCAUCGCACUUAUAACUGUGAUGUUUCUGAUCUCAAAGUACGCUGCCCAGCUUACGGAGUUCCACUGUCAUCUCUUCCCACAGAAAUGGGUGUAUUGGCGUCCUCCAGCACCAAAACUAACCCGCCUGCAUCCCUGCUGCUCGCUCCGGUCUGUGCCCUCCUCGUGUGUCACGGACGGAGGUGACGGGGACGGUCAGUUCAGAGAGUUAUUGGAGCUACAGAGAUGUGUUGUGUUCAGCGAGGAGCGUUUGGUACCCGUGAGCGUGUCCCUGUGCCGCACGAGCGUGGGCUGGGACGGGCAUGGCGGUGGCGACGGGGCUUUGGUGGCACCCAGAGCAGUGUGGGUGGUUGGGGUGCACCCAGUGUGGGUGGUUGGGGGUGCACCCAGAGCAGUGUAACUAAUUGGGGGGUGCACCCAGUGUGGCUGGUUGGGGGUGCACCCAGAGCAGUGUGGCUGAUUUGGGGGUGCACUCAGAGCAGUGUGGGUGGUUGGGGUGCACCCAGUGUGGCUGGUUGGGGUGCACCCAGAGCAGUGUAACUAAUUGGGGGGUGCACUCAGAGCAGUGUGGGUGGUUGGGGGUGCACUCAGAGCAGUGUGACUGGUUGGGGGGUGCACCCAGAGCAGUGUGACUAAUUGGGGGGUGCACCCAGAGCAGUGUGGCUGAUUUGGGGGUGCACUCAGAGCAGUGUGGGUGGUUGGGGUGCACCCAGUGUGGCUGGUUGGGGUGCACCCAGAGCAGUGUGGCUGUUUUGGGGGUGCACCCAGAGCAGUGUGGCUGGUUGGGGGUGCACCCAGAGCAGUGUGGCUGGUUGGGGGGUGCACUCUGAGCAGUGUGGCUGAUCAGGGGGUGCACUUGAGGGGCGCACUCUGAGCAGUGUGGCUGAUUUGGGGGUGCACUCUGAGCAGUGUGACUAAUUGGGGGGUGCACCCGGAGCAGUGUGGCUGGUUGGGGGUUGCACUCUGAGCAGGGUGGCUGAUUUUGGGGUGCACUCUGAGCAGUGUGGCAGAUUGGGGGGUGCACUCUGAGCAGGGUGGCUGAUUUUGGGGUGCACUCUGAGCAGUGUGGCAGAUUGGGGGGUGCACUCUGAGAAGUGUGACUAAUUGGGGGGUGCACUCAGAGCAGUGUGGCUGAUCAGGGGGUGCACUCAGAGCAGUGUGGGUGGUUGGGGUGCACCCAGAGCAGUGUGGCUGAUUUUGGGGUGCAUCCAGAGCAGUGUGGCUGGUUGGGGUGCACCCAGAGCAGUGUGGCUGAUUUGGGGGUGCACCCAGAGCAGUGUGGCUGAGCAGGGGGUGCACCCAGAGCAGUGUGGCUGGUUGGGGUGCACUCUGAGCAGUGUGGCUGAUCAGGGGGUGCACUUGAGGGGCGCACUCUAAGCAGUGUGGCUGAUUUGGGGGUGCACUCUGAGCAGUGUGACUAAUUGGGGGGUGCACUCUGAGCAGUGUGGCAGAUUGGGGGGUGCACCCAGAGCAGUGUGGCUGGUUGGGGGUGCACCCAGAGCAGUGUGGCUGGUUGGGGUGCACCCAGAGCAGUGUGGCUGAUCAGGGGGUGCAUUUGGGGGGUGCAUUUCCAGCAGGGUGGCUGAUCAGGGGGUGCAAUUGAGGGGUGCACUCUGAGCAGUGUGGCAGAUUGGGGGGUGCACUCUGAGCAGUGUGGCAGAUUGGGGGGUGCACUUGCGGGGUGCACUUGGAGCAGUCUGGCAGAUUGGGGGGUUCCUUCCUUCCUUUUCCUCCCUUCCAUUUCCUUCCUUCCAUUUCCUUCCUUCCUUUUCCUUCCUUCAUAUUUCCUUCCUUCUUUUCCUUCCUCCUUCCUUCCUCCUUCCUUUUCCUUCACCUUCUUAUCUAUAUUGCUGCUUUCCAGCUCUAUCUCAGGUUUAUUAUGUGUCACGUUUUAAGCGCAGCCUUUGUCCACCCUGCGGGCUGGUGUGCGCUGACUUUUCUCCAGGCCCUGCUGCGAUCACAGCGUGUUGCUCCGCAGAGUCAUUUCAUUCCAAGGAUUAUCAAUCAUACAACUUCAUACUUCUAGGUCUCUGCUUUCCCGAUCGCUGCCGUGGUCGUAAGCCAAAUCCUCUUUCGUCUUUAUCUCCCUUGGAUGCCGUGAUGCUGCCGAGCGAGGCGCAAUUAACUCUGCUCCAGGGUUUCUCUCUGCCCCCGGAGACGCUGCAGGAAGGUGCCAGAGCUGCAAACACGAGCCCGCAUCCAGGUUUUUACAGCAUCCCCGUUGCCGAGCGCAACGUGGAUCAUCCCCAGCAUCACCGUGGAAGAAAGGGCAGCAUGGAGAUGCCGGUUUGCCGGGGAGAUCAAUCGGGGCGCGGCGUUUUCAUGGGGCGUUCAGACCCCCCGACGCCGCGCGCGGGUUUUCCAGUUCUGGUUCCGACGCUGCCGCCGUGGGGAGGUCUCUGUGGCGCAAUGGACGAGCGCGCUGGACUUCUAAUCCAGAGGUUCCGGGUUCGAGUCCCGGCAGAGAUGAUCUCCAGGCAGGUGUCUCUUUUCUUUUAAUGCCCGUUGCUUUGUAGGUCCCAAUCUGUCACAUUUAUAACACCCCCGAGGGAUUUGGAGGGGUAGAUAAUGACUUUCCACCACAGCUUCUCUGCAGAUGAUGCGUAACGGUGCUGAGCUCCCUUCUAAGUCAUCUCUCCAUCACAUUCCCCUUUCCUCGUUCCUUUUGGUAUCUCCUGAAUAAUCGGGUGUUUUAACCCUCUACUGCUCGCAGGUCUCAUCUUUGGUACCUUCUUAAAGAAAGUUCGCUGAUUUCCAGUAGAAAUCAGGUGCUUGGGCAGUUUAGAGCCUUCUGUGGAUGUUUCCUGUGAUAAACAUGGUCGUUGUUUUCAAAUGCGUGGCAAAAAAAUAGGUCUAUAUUGUGAAUUUCUACCAUAUAGAAAUUCUUUGUAAAUGCUUUUAUUUUGCAUGGUUUUACUUUGCUGACGACCACCCCCACACCCCUGUGGGUGUUCGCCUUCCCAAGCAGCAAAUUGACUCUUUUUUCCCUUUAAAA
Columba livia (rock pigeon) is the source of this 3379-nucleotide long non-coding RNA. RefSeq lists it as uncharacterized. Lineage: Eukaryota; Metazoa; Chordata; Aves; Columbiformes; Columbidae. The record is from RefSeq and is a predicted model, not a curated record. The transcript has 3 exons.